CGGACGGGUGAGUAAUGCAUAGGAAUCUGCCCGAUAGUGGGGGAUAACCUGGGGAAACCCAGGCUAAUACCGCAUACGUCCUACGGGAGAAAGGGGGCUCCGGCUCCCGCUAUUGGAUGAGCCUAUGUCGGAUUAGCUAGUUGGUGAGGUAAAGGCUCACCAAGGCGACGAUCCGUAGCUGGUCUGAGAGGAUGAUCAGCCACAUCGGGACUGAGACACGGCCCGAACUCCUACGGGAGGCAGCAGUGGGGAAUAUUGGACAAUGGGCGAAAGCCUGAUCCAGCCAUGCCGCGUGUGUGAAGAAGGCCCUCGGGUUGUAAAGCACUUUCAGCAAGGAAGAACGCCUAGUGGUUAAUACCCUUUAGGAAAGACUUCACUCGGAGAAAAAACGCCGGCUAACUCCGUGCCAGCAGCCGCGGUAAUACCGAGGGUGCAAGCGUUAGUCGGAAUUACUGGGCGUACAGCGCGCGUAGGUGGCUUGAUAAGCCGGUUGUGAAAGC
RNAcentral lists this ribosomal RNA (500 nucleotides) under Halomonas sp. ZXM030. RNAcentral describes it as "bacterial SSU rRNA". It matches the Rfam family "Bacterial small subunit ribosomal RNA", at positions 99 to 601 of the family's 1533-position model. The record is from RNAcentral. Lineage: Bacteria; Pseudomonadati; Pseudomonadota; Gammaproteobacteria; Oceanospirillales; Halomonadaceae.